Molecule: small RNA, 110 nt
Filed under: Pristionchus pacificus
Lineage: Eukaryota; Metazoa; Nematoda; Chromadorea; Rhabditida; Neodiplogasteridae
Description: SL2 RNA
Rfam family: SL2 RNA
About the family: This family represents SL2 RNA. SL2 RNA is involved in trans splicing in lower eukaryotes.
Source: Rfam by way of RNAcentral
GGUUUAUACCCAGUAUCUCAAGGUACGCUUGGGCUUCUGACCAGAUAUCCUCUGUGUUAGAGAACCAACAGUUUUUGGGCAGCACUGAAGGGGUCUCCCGAGUGCAAUAA